Molecule: ribosomal RNA, 497 nt
Filed under: uncultured bacterium
Lineage: Bacteria
Description: partial 16S ribosomal RNA
Rfam family: Bacterial small subunit ribosomal RNA
Source: RNAcentral
GACGAACGCUGGCGGCGUGCCUAAUACAUGCAAGUUGAGCGAUGAAGAUUGGUGCUUGCACCAAUUUGAAGAGCAGCGAACGGGUGAGUAACGCGUGGGGAAUCUGCCUUUGAGCGGGGGACAACAUUUGGAAACGAAUGCUAAUACCGCAUAACAACUUUAAACAUAAGUUUUAAGUUUGAAAGAUGCAAUUGCAUCACUCAAAGAUGAUCCCGCGUUGUAUUAGCUAGUUGGUGAGGUAAAGGCUCACCGAGGCGAUGAUACAUAGCCGACCUGAGAGGGGGAUCGGCCACAUUGGGACUGAGACACGGCCCAAACUCCUACGGGAGGCAGCAGUAGGGAAUCUUCGGCAAUGGACGAAAGUCUGACCGAGCAACGCCGCGUGAGUGAAGAAGGGUUUCGGAUCGUAAAAAUCUGUUGGUAGAGAAGAACGUUGGUGAGAGUGGAAAGCUCAUAAAGUGACGGUAACUACCCAGAAAGGGACGGCUAACUACGUG